RNAcentral lists this long non-coding RNA (2197 nucleotides) under Rattus norvegicus (Norway rat). RNAcentral describes it as "long non-coding RNA NONRATT007170". The record is from RNAcentral. Lineage: Eukaryota; Metazoa; Chordata; Mammalia; Rodentia; Muridae.
UUGGGGCGUGCGGAGCUCCGGAGCGGGCACGUCGCGGGUGGCCGCGUACGCCGAGGGGGCGUGGCUGACGAGGCACCCGCAAGCUCCUAGGAUCCGGCUGCGUCAGGCUUGCAUCUCCGCGGCGGGGUGGCUGUAGGAUCCUGCCCUCGGAAGUACGCCCCUCUGCCUGGUGUUCCUGAGCGGAUCCUCUGACCCCGGCGGCCCUCCUGGCGCAGUCUUAGAUUUCCUUGGAUGAUGGCCUGCAUCUGACAGUCCCUCGACUCUUACUGGCUCAGCACCCCUGGCCCUCAGCGUUGACCUGGAAUGGCAGCCUGCUACACCCUGCCCAGCUGUUCCUUGGCCUAUUGUGUUGUGCCUGCCUCUUCUGUCCACACCAGGUCUUCUGUGAGCACUUCCCUCCUUUGCUCCCGGAAUGCUUCAUGGCAGGUGCCAUUGGCAGAGCCCUGGCAGUCCUGUCUAGAUGGCAGCCAGUUUCACCAGUGCACACCCUUGGCAGCAGAUGGACGGUACUUCAGGACAUGACCCUGUGUGUGUGUGUGUGUGCACCCCCGUGGAGCAGAACAGUUCAACUAACCAUUCUUCUGGCAGUAAGCCUGCAGAAAAGAGCCCUCCAGCUGGAUAUAUACCAGACCCUUGGCCACUCAGGACAGACUUCCACUGGGUUCUGACUCUGACCUGGCACCUUUGAUGGCUCUCCCGACUACUAGACUGCUUUUUUGGCCCAGCUGGGUGAUUAUAGGUCUUCCACUUUGAACACUGUUAGGACAAUCUCAGCUCUGUCAGAGAGCCUCAGUUGACUGACAGGCCUAGCUUGGGCCUGGGCCGCCCCCUACUGCAGUAGGUACCUUGCCUGCCUGAUGAUUAUGAACUCUUCUGCCGGGAUCUUGAAGAAGUUAUUCAAACAGUUUUGUUGUGUACCAUGCCACUGUCUCCUGCCUUCCACAUCAAGCCAGCCACCGGUGGCCGCAUAGCUGCCCACAGUAAGGCAGUAUUUAGUUAGUUGUUCUCAGUAGCCCUAGUACUCAGUAUGGGUACUUCCCUGAGGCCUGACCUCAGCAGCAGCUGGCCAAGGAGGGCUCCACUGGACCCGAGAGUCCCUGACCCAGUCUUGUUUUGCAUUUAGUCCUUAUUGUAGUGCCGAGGCCACAUGGCUCCCAUCUAAAGGAGGCAGCACCCAACUUGUACCUCUAAAAUCUGUUUAACUCCUCUCCUUGGAAGCUAGAACCAGCUUAUCUGGAAACCUUAGAACCUCAGAAAACAGAGAAGAAUUCUAAAACAUAAGGAGACCGGGAGUUGUAUCCGGGUGCCCUGUGGUGGGUGAACAAUGUCCCAGAGAUCCCACAAGAGCCAGCUCCCUGUUCACUACUCCUUGUCCCUGAGUUCUGAACACGCUCUAGUUAUGCAGCAGUGCCCUUCACCCAGACAGGACAGUGCUGUCUACAGAUGACUCCACCUACCCUGUACUGAGCCCCUAGCUGAGUUCCUAGCCCACACCGGACGUGCUGUUCUACCUGGGCAGUUUCGCAGGAAAGACUCUGUGAUCAGCCACCGUCAGAUUAUAGCGCCGUGUCCAGGUGCUGCCCCCACACGUGACCUUGGUGUUUCUCCGCCUCUGCCCUGCUCUCUGUGACGUUUGAUAUUAGGCUACAGUAGAAAGAAGACUGCUUGAAGGAAGCCACUGCUCCUUUUUUAAAUAUUUUGGUUGGUUUGAUUCUUUUGUUUUUGAGAUAAUGUUUCACUGUGUAGUCCUUCCUGGAACUUGAUAUAUACCAGGCUGGCAUUGAACUCUCAACCCUCUGCCUCUGCCGUCUGAGUGCUAGAACUAACUCUUUUUCUUUUUCUUUAAAUGGUAUAUCUAUGGAGUAUAGUAUAAUUGGAUAUAUAGAUGUAUAGCGAUCCAAUCUGGUGACUACCAUUUCCUUUUCGUAAAUGUUGAUAAUUUCUUUGUAUGGAAUUGUAUUUACACUCCUCUCAUGGUUCCUUAUAAAAGAUGAAAUAUGUUUUUGCUAACUCUUAAGCGCACUGUGCAGUGGAAGGUAUCUAAUCUUCCUGUCUCUUCCUGGCCUUUCCUGUCUCGUUACCAUUAUCUGUCUUCUGUUCCCGUCAGAUCAACUCUGAUAACUGUCGCAUACAGAUACAGAUACAUGUGGCAUUUGUGUCUCUACCUGUUUAGUUCAAUUAACAGUGCCUUUGGUUC